UAAUACGUAGGGGGCAAGCGUUGCUCGGAAUUACUGGGCGUAAAGGGUGUGUAGGUGGUUGAGUAAGUCAAAGAUGAAAUCCCAGGGCUCAACUCUGGAAUUGUCUUUGAAACUGUUCAGCUUGAGGAUAGUUGAGGAGGACGGAAUUCCCGGUGGAGCGGUGAAAUGCGUAGAUAUCGGGAGGAACACCAGAGGCGAAGGCGGUUCUCUAAGCUAUCCCUGACACUGAGACACGAAAGCUAGGGGAGCGAACGGGAUUAGAUACCCCGGUAGUCCUAGCCGUAAACGAUGGGCACUAGAUGUUUCCGUUUUAAACGGGAGUGUCGAAGCUAACGCGUUAAGUACCCCGCCUGGGGAGUACGGUCGCAAGGCUG
RNAcentral lists this ribosomal RNA (374 nucleotides) under uncultured bacterium. Its description in RNAcentral is "bacterial SSU rRNA". It matches the Rfam family "Bacterial small subunit ribosomal RNA", at positions 521 to 896 of the family's 1533-position model. The record is from RNAcentral.